GAGUUCAGAAUGUAGUAGUGGAGAAGUUCGCAUGGAAGGCAGCUGGAUAAAGAUGGAUAGAGCUGCAGUAGCAUGUGACAGACUCAGGAGGGCAGUGUUACUUCAGAGUUUAGAUCCACGGCACUCCUCUUCAGCCACUAGUCACCAUUGUCAUGGCGCUGGCUCUUGGGUUGCUGCGGGAGAUCUCCGCGGCAACACAGCAGCGAGAAGCUCGUUGACUAUCUCCUUUCUGAUCUCAUCAGUGAGACUCUGCUUAAUCUGAGAACGAGAAAGGGGGGAGAAAAAAAAAACAAAACAAAAAAAAACACAUGACAAUGCAGCAAACGGCAGCAGA
Molecule: long non-coding RNA, 334 nt
Organism: Ictalurus punctatus (channel catfish)
Lineage: Eukaryota; Metazoa; Chordata; Actinopteri; Siluriformes; Ictaluridae
Exons: 2
Source: RefSeq, a predicted model, not a curated record